Molecule: ribosomal RNA, 445 nt
Filed under: uncultured bacterium
Lineage: Bacteria
Description: bacterial SSU rRNA
Rfam family: Bacterial small subunit ribosomal RNA
Source: RNAcentral
GUGAGGAAUAUUGCGCAAUGGAGGCAACUCUGACGCAGCCAUGCCGCGUGCAGGAAGAAGGCGCUACGCGUUGUAAACUGCUUUUAACCGGGAAGAAACCCCAGGACGUGUCCUGGGUUGACGGUACCGGAGGAAUAAGCACCGGCUAACUUCGUGCCAGCAGCCGCGGUAAUACGAAGGGUGCAAGCGUUAUCCGGAUUCAUUGGGUUUAAAGGGUGCGUAGGCGGAGCGUUAAGUCAGUGGUGAAAUCCUGCAGCUUAACUGUAGACUUGCCAUUGAUACUGGCGCUCUUGAGUGCGCUUGAAGUGGGCGGAAUGUGCCGUGUAGCGGUGAAAUGCUUAGAUAUGGCACAGAACACCAAUUGCGAAGGCAGCUCACUAAGGCGAUACUGGCGCUGAGGCACGAAAGCGUGGGGAUCGAACAGGAUUAGAAACCCGAGUAGUCC